Molecule: long non-coding RNA, 2295 nt
Filed under: Papio anubis (olive baboon)
Lineage: Eukaryota; Metazoa; Chordata; Mammalia; Primates; Cercopithecidae
Description: lncRNA (ENSPANG00000040322.1)
Source: RNAcentral
AUUUAGCACACCUGUAAGUCUGUGAUUCCCCUACUGGAACACAAUCUUCAAGUGGGAUUGGGCAUCUUAUACAUGGAUUUAUCCCACUGUUGAGAUGUAACUCUUCUACUUCGACCCAACUUACAGGAGAUGUUGACCCAUAUUCACGAAACCAGGACUUGUGUGGGACUGCGAAACUUACUUCUGAAUAUUUAUUUCUGUGUGAUUAGGACAUAAAAGUGAGCCCACCUCUUGAGUGAUUUGACUCUCCUUUUUAGGACAUGAUCACAGACGACAUUGUGACAUACGUGGACCAUACACCUAAGCAAAAAUGCCUGGGCCUGCCUACAAAGGGCACUUUUAUAUGUGACUGGCACCAGCACCCAAGUGAUGUGAAUUCUUUGCCUGAUCCCUGACUAUAAAAGGCAUUGUGGCUUAUAUGUAGGUCCCUCAUGAAGGAUUGUAACAUAUCUCUGGACCCAUCAUCUAGUUGCCUGACUCUCCUCUCCUGCCUGGACCCUGCUUCCACUGGGGAUUGUAACACUGUCCACAAGGGGUAUGGUGCCAUACAUCUGGGUGUAACCCCAAGUUAUGCAACUUUUCUGCCAGGAAAAUAUCUACAAGGAGAAUAUUGGAAAAUUUCUGGCUCAGCAUUUAGGUGACUUGGCUGUCGUGCCUGUUUCAUUACUACAGAGUAAAUUGUGACAUAUGCCUAGGAACAGUUCACAGGCAUGAUAAUGACUCUCAUAUGUGGACCCCACAAACAGGAGUAAUUUUGACUCUCAAAACUUGUUUUAGAAACAUGAGUGAUUAAAUCUCUUUCUGGUUAAAAAAAAAAAACAACAAAGAAGAUUAUAACAGCGUCAGAUAUUUUAUAAAGCCCUGGACUUGUACACAGAGUGUCAUAACAGAACCCAGCAGAAAGGUAAAAUUUUGAGUCUAAAAUGCACACCUACCUGACAGUAAGGACUGUCAUUGUCUCACAUAUGUGAAGCCAACUGUCACGCAUGAAAACAGGACAUGCGUGGUAUUGUACAUCUCAUCCUGGGAAUUUUCUGCCAGUGUGAUUGUGAUAUAUAUCUUUGCCGAGCACCUGUGUGAUUCGACUCUCCAGACUGGUUAGAGCUGGCAUAUGUUAUUGUGAUAUCUACCUGGGCCAAUCUCUAGGUGAUGUGACUGUCCUGCCUGGGCUCUGCUCUCGGUAAGAAUCAUAACAUAUCACUAGAUCCAGCACCCAGGUCAUGUCACAUUUUUGCCUGAGCCAUGUCCGCAGAAAUCACUGUGACAUAUCACUGUGUCCACCACUUAGGUGACAUAACUUUCCUCAUUAGAAUGGGCCCUGAACACUAUGGGGGAUAGUGACAUAUGGCUGGGCCAGGCACACAGGUGAUGGUACUCUUUUGCUAGGGCCAUGUCCUAAAGAGAGCACUAUGAUACAUCACAAGGUGAUGUUGAUCUCCAGCUUGGGUCUUGCUUACCUGGAUAGUGACAUAUUGCUAGUCUAGGCACACAGGUGAUGGUAGUCUUUCAGCAGGGCCCUGCCUCAAGGAGCACAUUGUGACAUCUCUCUGGGUCUAUCACCUAGGUGAUGUGACUCCCUGCUCAGGCCCUGCCCACAUGGAGCAUUGUGACAUAAGAGUAGAACCUGCACCUAUUUGUUGUAACUCUCUUGCCAGGGUCCUGCCCUAAGGGAGCCUUGUGACAUAGUUCAAAACCCAGUAUCAAGGUGAUGUGGCUCUUCUGCCUGCUUUGACCUCACAUGUUAGGUUGUGUCAUAUAGCUAGAGAAUCACCUAGAUGAUAUGAGUCUUCUCUUCUGCCUGACUCUUGCCUAUUUGGGACAUUGGUCCAGAUAUCUGAGGUUGUGUCCUAAGUGAUAUGACACUUUUGUUCUGCCAGAACCUUUACAAUGGGGUCACAUGGCAUAUUGCUAAGCCCAAUACUUAGGUAAUAUGAUUCUACUUUUUUUCCUGAACCAUGCCCAUGAAAAGUAAUUUUGAUGUAUUGCAGGGCCUAGCACCCAGAUGAUGUUCCUCUUCUGCCUGGGUCCUGCAUAAAGAGAAUUACGGCAUAUUGCUAGGCCUCCCACUCUGAUGGUGUAACUCUCCUGCUUGUGCCAGAGCAACAGAAAGUAUUUUUACAUAUCUUGGGCCUAUUCUGUAGCUGGUUUGGCUCUCAUCAUUUUUCUUUUUUUUUUUUUUUUUUUUCCACAUUUGGGAUUGUGUCAUAUUGCUGGGUCCAGCACCCAGGUAAUGCAACCCUGAUUUCUAGAUCCUUCCUAGAGAGGGCAUUGUGACAUAUUGCUUGGCACAGCACC